CAGUCGCCGCGGGAAUACCAGCACCUCGAGUGGUCAGGAGGUUUAUUGGGCCUAAAGCAUCCGUAGCCGGUUGCAUAAGUUUUCGGUUAAAUCUAUGCGCUUAACGUAUAGGCCGCCGAAAAUACUGUGCAGCUAGGGAGUGGGAGAGGUACACGGUACUCGAUAGGAAGGGGUAAAAUCCUUUGAUCUAUUGAUGACCACCUGUGGCGAAGGCGGUGUACCAGAACACGUUCGACGGUGAGGGAUGAAAGCUGGGGGAGCAAACCGGAUUAGAUACCCGUGUAGUCCCUGUCUCUUAUAC
This 301-nucleotide ribosomal RNA is filed under the name uncultured bacterium. Its description in RNAcentral is "partial 16S ribosomal RNA". It matches the Rfam family "Archaeal small subunit ribosomal RNA", at positions 459 to 760 of the family's 1478-position model. The record is from RNAcentral.